RNAcentral lists this ribosomal RNA (835 nucleotides) under uncultured archaeon. Its description in RNAcentral is "bacterial SSU rRNA". It matches the Rfam family "Archaeal small subunit ribosomal RNA", at positions 21 to 843 of the family's 1478-position model. The record is from RNAcentral.
CCCGACUGCUAUUUGGGUGAGGAUAAGCCAUGCGAGUUGAAUGGGAUACCUAAAAAUCCCAUGGCAAACUGCUCAGUAACACAUGAUCAACUUACCCUAUAUAGGAAAAUAACCUCGGGAAACUGAGGAUAAUGUUCCAUAGUUGAAUCGGCUUGGAAAAGUUUUUCGACGAAAGGGGUAAAAAAAAUGGUUUUUAUCUGCUAUAGGAUAGGAUCGUGUUCGAUUAUGGUUGUUGGUGAGGUAAUGGCUCACCAAGCCGAUAAUCGAUAGGGGCCGUGAGAGCGGGAGCCCCGAGAUGGGUACUGAGACAACGACCCAGGCCUUACGAGGCGCAGCAGGCGCGAAACCUCCGCAAUACACGAAAGUGUGACGGGGUUACCCAAAGUGUUCAAUUUUGAACUGUGGUAGGUGAGUAAUGUUCCCUACUAGAAAGGAGAGGGCAAGGCUGGUGCCAGCCGCCGCGGUAAAACCAGCUCUUCAAGUGGUCGGGAUAAUUAUUGGGCUUAAAGUGUCCGUAGCCGGUUUAGUAAGUUCCUGGUAAAAUCGGGUAGCUUAACUAUCUAUAUGCUAGGAAUACUACUAUACUAGAGGGCGGGAGAGGUCUGAGGUACUACAGGGGUAGGGGUGAAAUCUUAUAAUCCUUGUUGGACCACCAGUGGCGAAGGCGUCAGACUGGAACGCGCCUGACGGUGAGGAACGAAAGCCAGGGGAGCGAACCGGAUUAGAUACCCGGGUAGUCCUGGCCGUAAACGAUGCAUACUAUGUGAUGGCACGGCCAUGAGCCGUGUCAGUGCCGUAAGGAAACCGUUAAGUGUGCGCCUGGGAAGUACGGUCG